This 400-nucleotide unclassified non-coding RNA is filed under the name Hevea brasiliensis (rubber tree). Lineage: Eukaryota; Viridiplantae; Streptophyta; Magnoliopsida; Malpighiales; Euphorbiaceae. The record is from RNAcentral.
UUUUUUUAGCAGCUUAAUGCUUAGAGUAUCAUGAAAUGAAUGUUGAUGAUGUUCAGAUAGUUUACAGUUAUUCCCUUCCAACUAUAAAUUACAUCACUCUAUGAACUCCUGGACCUGAAAGAAGGAAGAAAAUUGAAGGGAAAAAUGAUUCCUGAAUUCCCUAGCAUCUAUCCAAUACAUAAUAAACUACAACUCAUACCUCAACAACAUGAGGUUUACCAGCUUCAUCAGGCAAGCUAUCUAAGCUAAAAAGAAUGAAGCCAAACCAAUAUUAAUCUACAGCUCAACCUUAACGACAUGAAGUUUACCUUCAUCAGGCAAGCUAUCCAAGCAAAAAGUAAACAAACCAGCAGAUGAAUCAUACAUAAAAUCAACCACGUUUGAGUCCACAAUGCACUUC